UGGGGAAUAUUGGACAAUGGGCGAAAGCCUGAUCCAGCAAUGCCGCGUGAGUGAUGAAGGCCUUAGGGUUGUAAAGCUCUUUUACCAGGGAUGAUAAUGACAGUACCUGGAGAAUAAGCUCCGGCUAACUCCGUGCCAGCAGCCGCGGUAAGACGGAGGAUGCAAGCGUUAUCCGGAAUUAUUGGGCGUAAAGCGUCCGUAGGCGGUUUAUCAAGUCAGUUGUUAAAGACUGCAGCUCAACUGUGGGCGAGCAACUGAAACUGAUGAACUAGAGUGCGGUAGGGGUAGAGGGAAUUCCCAGUGUAGCGGUGAAAUGCGUAGAUAUUGGGAAGAACACCAGUGGCGAAGGCGCUCUACUGGGCCGCAACUGACGCUGAGGGACGAAAGCUAGGGGAGCGAAAGGGAUUAGAUACCCCCGUAGUCC
Molecule: ribosomal RNA, 424 nt
Filed under: uncultured prokaryote
Description: bacterial SSU rRNA
Rfam family: Bacterial small subunit ribosomal RNA
Source: RNAcentral